RNAcentral lists this ribosomal RNA (253 nucleotides) under uncultured bacterium. RNAcentral's name for it is "partial 16S ribosomal RNA". It matches the Rfam family "Bacterial small subunit ribosomal RNA", at positions 524 to 776 of the family's 1533-position model. The record is from RNAcentral.
UACGGAGGGUGCAAGCGUUGUCCGGAUUUAUUGGGUUUAAAGGGUGCGUAGGCGGCCCAUUAAGUCCGUGGUGAAAGCCAACAGCUCAACUGUUGAACUGCCAUGGAUACUGAUGGGCUUGAGUACAGACGAGGUAGGCGGAAUGGAUGCUGUAGCGGUGAAAUGCAUAGAUAGCAUCCAGAACCCCGAUUGCGUAGGCAGCUGACUAGGCUGGUACUGACACUGAGGCACGAAAGCGUGGGGAGCGAACAGG